Long non-coding RNA from Mesocricetus auratus (golden hamster), 1242 nucleotides. RefSeq lists it as uncharacterized. NCBI's taxonomy places the organism in Eukaryota, Metazoa, Chordata, Mammalia, Rodentia, Cricetidae. The transcript has 2 exons. The record is from RefSeq and is a predicted model, not a curated record.
CUUUCCAGCAGGUUCUACCCCAGCCCGGUGUUGCCCCCACAGGGCCCUGUCCACUCUCCCUCCUCCUGGGGCCAGCAUGUGCUGUCACAUCACAUUCUGUAAAAUGGGCCACGAGUCACACAUGGCCGGCGGUAGAGCCACCAGAAGGGCCGAGGUAACCGAGGUUGGGACUGGGGCCUCUGCACCAGAUGGAAUUGGACACGGGGACCUCGGGGCAAUGACAGGCCACGGAACAGCAGCAGGAAACGUUCCAACCCGUUGGUAACUGAAGCGCCAGGCUGGGGCCGGGGACUCAGGGCAGGGUCUGGUGCAGUUCUGGGGAGACCCUGGUUUCCCCAGCGGGAGGGGGCAGCAGGGAGGUAAUGGCGACUCGCUGGGAAGCGGUCACUCUCUGACCAGGACUGGGCCUUCUUGAACCUCAGUCUGGGCAGGGGCUCCACCGCCGAGCCACGCCCCCAGCCCCUCACUGGGAGAUUCUAGAGAAGGGCUCUGCAGGAACCAGGCGCAAAGCACAGGUAACAUCUCUUUCCUCUUAGGCAAGCUCGUCAUGCUCCUGCCUCAGCUUGACUGGCUCAGGUAUCAUAGACAGGAUGCUGUUUCCCUUACGUUGCUGCCUGGAAAACCUCUGGGGCUGUGUCGGAAACGGGCUGGCGUUCACUUGUCCUAGCUGAACCCCAAGGUGCUCUUGGACACCUGGACACAGGCUGGGCAGAGUACCCUGGCCGCUCGCCUCGAUGUGUUCCCACCCCAGGGCAGAGCUAUCGGGGCUUAGCGCUCGCUAAUGAGCACAGGCCCUUAGGACUUGUUUAACAGGUGUGCAGAGGGCCAGCUCCUGGCCUCACCUCAUCACUCAGGGAGAUGGGGACAUGAGACACCCUCCUCGAUGGCCCGAGAGGCUGUUGACAGUCUUUCCCAACAAGGAAGUGAAGCGUGUGGGUGUGGCCAGGCACAGCUGGUACCUGCUUGACCAGCAAACCUCCGGGGACAGCAGCCUGGAGCAGUGACACUCGGGGAGGGGCUGUUCUUGGGUCUGGGGUCCCCAGGAUGGGGCACAGACUGAGUGGCAGCGCUGUGCUCUGUGGCCCUGGGCAGGGUCUUAGCCUCUCUGGUGAGUUCAGUGUUUGUAACCACAAAGGUCGGGGCUUGCAGGGGGCCCCAGGCAGGGCCGAGAAUCCCAGUCCCCAAAGACACGCAGCCAACAGGUACAAUGUUUCAUAUUCGCAAUAAACGUACCGUACAAAA